UACGGGGGGGGGCAAGCGUUGUUCGGAAUUACUGGGCGUAAAGGGCUCGUAGGCGGCCAACUAAGUCGACCGUGAAAUCCCCGGGCUCAACCCGGGAACUGCGUCCGAUACUGGCAGGCUUGAAUCCGGGAGAGGGAUGCGGAAUUCCAGGUGUAGCGGUGAAAUUCGUAGAUAUCGGAAGGAACGCCGGUGGCGAAAGCGACGCGCUGGACCUCUUCUGACGCUGAGGCGCGAAAGCCAGGGGAGCAAACGGG
Molecule: ribosomal RNA, 254 nt
Filed under: uncultured bacterium
Lineage: Bacteria
Description: partial 16S ribosomal RNA
Rfam family: Bacterial small subunit ribosomal RNA
Source: RNAcentral